CCUACGGGUGGCUGCAGUGGGGAAUAUUGGACAAUGGGCGAAAGCCUGAUCCAGCCAUGCCGCGUGUGUGAAGAAGGCCUUCGGGUUGUAAAGCACUUUCAGUGGGGAAGAAAGCCUUGGGGCUAAUACCCUCGAGGAAGGACAUCACCCACAGAAGAAGCACCGGCUAACUCCGUGCCAGCAGCCGCGGUAAUACGGAGGGUGCGAGCGUUAAUCGGAAUUACUGGGCGUAAAGCGCGCGUAGGCGGUCUGAUAAGUCGGUUGUGAAAGCCCCGGGCUCAACCUGGGAACGGCAUCCGGAACUGUCAGGCUAGAGUGCAGGAGAGGAAGGUAGAAUUCCCGGUGUAGCGGUGAAAUGCGUAGAGAUCGGGAGGAAUACCAGUGGCGAAGGCGGCCUUCUGGACUGACACUGACGCUGAGGUGCGAAAGCGUGGGUAGCAAACAGGAUUAGAUACCCGUGUAGUC
This 465-nucleotide ribosomal RNA is filed under the name Vreelandella stevensii. RNAcentral describes it as "partial 16S ribosomal RNA". It matches the Rfam family "Bacterial small subunit ribosomal RNA", at positions 338 to 795 of the family's 1533-position model. The record is from RNAcentral. Lineage: Bacteria; Pseudomonadati; Pseudomonadota; Gammaproteobacteria; Oceanospirillales; Halomonadaceae.